RNAcentral lists this ribosomal RNA (301 nucleotides) under uncultured bacterium. RNAcentral describes it as "partial 16S ribosomal RNA". It matches the Rfam family "Bacterial small subunit ribosomal RNA", at positions 509 to 809 of the family's 1533-position model. The record is from RNAcentral.
CAGCCGCCGCGGUAAUACGAAGGGGGCUAGCGUUGUUCGGAUUUACUGGGCGUAAAGCGCACGUAGGCGGACUUUUAAGUCAGGGGUGAAAUCCCGGGGCUCAACCCCGGAACUGCCUUUGAUACUGGAAGUCUUGAGUAUGGUAGAGGUGAGUGGAAUUCCGAGUGUAGAGGUGAAAUUCGUAGAUAUUCGGAGGAACACCAGUGGCGAAGGCGGCUCACUGGACCAUUACUGACGCUGAGGUGCGAAAGCGUGGGGAGCAAACAGGAUUAGAGACCCCAGUAGUCCCUGUCUCUUAUAA